GCCGGGGUGGCGAAACUGGUAGACGCGCCAGACUCAAAAUCUGGUUCUCGCAAGGGAGUGUCGGUUCGAGUCCGACCCUCGGUACCA
RNAcentral lists this transfer RNA (87 nucleotides) under Proteobacteria bacterium TMED261. RNAcentral's name for it is "tRNA-Leu". It matches the Rfam family "tRNA". Rfam says of the family: Transfer RNA (tRNA) molecules are approximately 80 nucleotides in length. Their secondary structure includes four short double-helical elements and three loops (D, anti-codon, and T loops). The record is from RNAcentral. RNAcentral also lists the same sequence under 2 other names. Lineage: Bacteria; Pseudomonadati; Pseudomonadota.